UUCUUGGAUACUAGUUAUCUGUAAAUGUUCUAAAGGGUGCUCUGCUGAUGAUAGGUUGGUCGUUCAGGGAGGUUUGGGCACCUUGGGUUGGCAGUGAACUUGAUUACUUACGAGGAUCGCUUUAAUUUAUAUAGGAUUGAACAAGAACUUGGAACUGAAAUAAAGCAGAUUCCACCGCAAAUUGAUCAGGCAAUUUAUUGCCGGUAAUUGGUAGUAAAUACCGGGAUUGUGUUUACAAUUGUGGCUAAUAGCAGUGGUUAGUGUGACUGUGACACAAGCAGGUGCAUGGGAGGAUUUGCUAAGCUAGUGAAUAGUGUAUUAUUGGACCCUGGCAUGAGAGGAUGCACUUUCAAAACUGGGUAUUAUUGGACCCAUUAUUGAGUGCUUUUCGAUAAAUUCUGGUUUUGAGAGCCCUGAAACAUUAUUGGAACAUUUUGAGUUUAGUUUUGGCUUUUAAUUGCCAGAUAGUGACUGGGUCCAGUUUGGGUUUCCGUUAAUUACAUUUGCAGAUUAUUGUCAUUACAUAUUUGAGUACUCUAGUUUUAUAUUAUGGUUUAGGGAUGAUAUACCUUGUUAUGAACAUGUCCCUUCCUGCAAU
Non-coding RNA from Vigna umbellata (rice bean), 598 nucleotides. NCBI's taxonomy places the organism in Eukaryota, Viridiplantae, Streptophyta, Magnoliopsida, Fabales, Fabaceae. The record is from RefSeq and is a predicted model, not a curated record.